Long non-coding RNA from Raphanus sativus (radish), 900 nucleotides. RefSeq lists it as uncharacterized. The transcript is spliced from 4 exons. NCBI's taxonomy places the organism in Eukaryota, Viridiplantae, Streptophyta, Magnoliopsida, Brassicales, Brassicaceae. The record is from RefSeq and is a predicted model, not a curated record.
AAAUCUAUCCAACAUCUAGGUUAUUUCUAGCGUGUCGUCUUCUCCUCUCCUCUAUUCCACCAUCAUUACCUCCGACCAUUAUACACAGAUAAAUUUGCAUGAAACAAAGAACAAAGUGGAAUUAGGGUUGGUGGACUGAUUCGUGGACCAGCAAUUCUCUUUGAUUCGAUCAAGAGUUUUUGCUUCUUUCAAUCAUUUAGAGAAAGGAAUCUUCAGAUAUCAGGUCCGGUUGAUCCAUACGAAAGGCCAUGUCAGUCACUAUAUGAGUGGAACAGAGACAAGAGUGAAUUCUUGAGUCAAUGCCAAAAGAUAUUUAGAAGAUGCGAAAGCUCCUAAGCAAGCUUUCCCUUCACACGUUUCUGUAUGGUUUUAGACGUGCGGAUCAGGCAUUCAAAAGAUCAAGGUCACUGUUAAAUCUACUCAGUUCAGACUUGAUGUUUUCAAGAAUGUUGAGAGCAAUGCUGAGGUCAAAGUUUUGGAUGUUGAUGCCUUUUUCAUAUCACACAUCCAACUGAACCAAGCAGAAAAACAGAGGUGGAGGACGUAUCGUGUACUGUAAGAAUCCGUAGUAUUUUUUUCUAUUUAUGCUACUUUUUUUUCAACUUUUGUUUUAGUCACAGUGUGCUGACUCUCCAUUUUGCUGCUUACAUGUCAAACCCAUGCCACAUUGAGUUGAUUUUGUCAAAGAAGGAAGAGCCUCUGAGAAAGAGAGAAGCCAAAGAAAGGAGCUUCUUCUUGAGCUUUCGUGAUCAUUUGUGUUACAACGCUAGAUACACUUUGUUUACUUUUUUUCUCUCACUUUGUUUACUUUUUUUUUUACUUUCUCUUUCGUUAAGACAAGUAACCAUAAUUGUAAAGACAUAAUGAUGAUUGGUUUCUGGAUUACUCAAGUUUUAAACU